RNAcentral lists this long non-coding RNA (1676 nucleotides) under Canis lupus familiaris (dog). RNAcentral's name for it is "lncRNA (ENSCAFG00805014031.1, ENSCAFG00845015099.1)". Lineage: Eukaryota; Metazoa; Chordata; Mammalia; Carnivora; Canidae. The record is from RNAcentral.
GCAGAGACAUAGAUGGAGGGAGAAGCAGGCUCCAUGCAGGGAGCCCGAUGCAGGACUCGAUCCAGGGUCUCGAUCCAGUGUCUCCAGGAUCACGCCCUGAGCAGAAGGCAGGCGCCCAACCGCUGAGCCACCCAGAGAUCCCCCCCCUUUUUUUUUUGCUUAUGUGAUUUUUAAAAAGUCACUGUCUUUUAGUAGAUAAAAUUAUAUGAAAUCUGGAACUUCAAAAUAGUUCAAUGGAGGAGGAGUAUGUGAGGGUUGAGAUGAAACAAUUGGCCAUGAUUUCAUAGUUGUUGAAUCUAGGUGAUGUGUACAUAGGGACUCAUAUGGUUACUCAACUUUUGUACGUGAAGUUUUCUGAAAUGAAAACUUAUUUUAAAAUUUUUUUUAAAAAAGAUUUUAUAUAUUUAUUUGAAAGAAUGAGAGAAAACAUGAGCUGGAGGAGAGGCAAUGGAGAGCAGGGGGCCCAACAUGGGGCCCAAUCCCAGGAUCACGACCCAAGCCAACUCAGACACUCAACCAACUGAGACACCAUGCACCUGGGUAUAACAAAAUUAUUUUUUAUUUUUAUUUUUUUAACAAAAUUUUUUAAGUGAUGAACUACUACCAAUUAUAAUUUAUGCCAGGAAUGUAAAGGUGUUUCAAUAUUAGAAAACUUAUUAAUGAAACAUAACAAAAUAAUAUAUUAAGAAAGUAAUAUCACUAAACACUAUAAAAUUGUUGAUAAGGCUUUAAUAUUUGCACUCGAUUUGAUUUUAUUUUGUUUUCUUUUGUUUUUCUAAGUAGACUUCACACCCAGCAUGGAGUGGGGCUUGAACUCAAGACCAUGAGAUCAAGACCUGAGCUGAGGUCAAGGGUCAGAUGUUUAACCAACUGAGCAGCCCAGGUGCCCCUUGUACCUGAUUUUAAAUAGGCAAAAUUAGAAUAAAAAGUUAAUCUUGUUAAUGAAAUAUAGGUUAUGUUAGUAUUAAUAUAUAUGUAUAGAUCUAGCCGAUAAUUAAAAUACUAGGAGCACUGCUCCCAAAAAUAUCAGAAAUCUACCAACUAUUAAUUUUACAAAAUAUUUUAAAAUUAGACUGGAUUUAGAUAACUAUAGACUCAGAUUAAGCUAUAGGAAAUAAUAGAGAUCACACAUAUCUUUCACCCAGUUUUCCCUGUGGUAACAUCUUGCAUAACCUAAUACAGGAUCACAAUGGGAAAUCAAACAUUGAUACACUCUAUCAAGGUUAUUUAGCUAUACCAGUUUUUCAUGUACCUGUGUGUCUGCGGUUUUAUCAUGUAUCCCUUCUUGUAACACUGUAAUCAAGAUACAAAACAGUUCUGUCAAUACAACAAUCCUCAAGUGACACACUUUUAUAAAUACAUCCACCUUCCACUCUCCCUUCUCCUGUCCCUAACCAUUGACAACUACUAAUCCAUUAACCAUCUCUAUAAUUUUGUCCUUUCAAGAAUGAAUGUAAUCAUACAGUAUGUAGCCUUCGGGGUUGUCUUUUUUCAUUUGACAUAAUAUCCUUAAAAUCUGUCCAAGUUACUUUGUCUAUCAACAGUUUGUUCCUAUUUAUGCCUGAGUAGUGCUAUUAAUUUACUACCGUUUGUGUAACAACCCUUGCAUUGAAGGACAUUUGGAUUUUUUCCUGUUUUGGAUUAUUAAGAAAUAAAUGCCACUUUGAAUAUUUGUA